Molecule: ribosomal RNA, 1346 nt
Filed under: uncultured bacterium
Lineage: Bacteria
Description: partial 16S ribosomal RNA
Rfam family: Bacterial small subunit ribosomal RNA
Source: RNAcentral
GACGAACGCUGGCGGCGUGCUUAACACAUGCAAGUCGAACGGAAAGGCCCUGCUUUUGUGGGGUGCUCGAGUGGCGAACGGGUGAGUAACACGUGAGUAACCUGCCCUUGACUUUGGGAUAACUUCAGGAAACUGGGGCUAAUACCGGAUAGGAGCUCCUGCUGCAUGGUGGGGGUUGGAAAGUUUCGGCGGUUGGGGAUGGACUCGCGGCUUAUCAGCUUGUUGGUGGGGUAGUGGCUUACCAAGGCUUUGACGGGUAGCCGGCCUGAGAGGGUGACCGGCCACAUUGGGCCUGAGAUACGGCCCAGACUCCUACGGGAGGCAGCAGUGGGGAAUAUUGCACAAUGGGCGGAAGCCUGAUGCAGCAACGCCGCGUGCGGGAUGACGGCCUUCGGGUUGUAAACCGCUUUCGCCUGUGACGAAGCGUGAGUGACGGUAAUGGGUAAAGAAGCACCGGCUAACUACGUGCCAGCAGCCGCGGUGAUACGUAGGGUGCGAGCGUUGUCCGGAUUUAUUGGGCGUAAAGGGCUCGUAGGUGGUUGAUCGCGUCGGAAGUGUAAUCUUGGGGCUUAACCCUGAGCGUGCUUUCGAUACGGGUUGACUUGAGGAAGGUAGGGGAGAAUGGAAUUCCUGGUGGAGCGGUGGAAUGCGCAGAUAUCAGGAGGAACACCAGUGGCGAAGGCGGUUCUCUGGGCCUUUCCUGACGCUGAGGAGCGAAAGCGUGGGGAGCGAACAGGCUUAGAUACCCUGGUAGUCCACGCUGUAAACGGUGGGUACUAGGUGUGGGGUCCAUUCCACGGGUUCCGUGCCGUAGCUAACGCUUUAAGUACCCCGCCUGGGGAGUACGGCCGCAAGGCUAAAACUCAAAGGAAUUGACGGGGCCCCGCACAAGCGGCGGAGCAUGCGGAUUAAUUCGAUGCAACGCGUAGAACCUUACCUGGGUUUGACAUGGAUCGGGAGUGCUCAGAGAUGGGUGUGCCUCUUUUGGGGUCGGUUCACAGGUGGUGCAUGGCUGUCGUCAGCUCGUGUCGUGAGACGUUGGGUUAAGUCCCGCAACGAGCGCAACCCUUGUUCACUGUUGCCAGCACGUUAUGGUGGGGACUCAGUGGAGACCGCCGGGGUCAACUCGGAGGAAGGUGGGGAUGACGUCAAGUCAUCAUGCCCCUUAUGUCCAGGGCUUCACGCAUGCUACAAUGGCUGGUACAGAGAGUGGCGAGCCUGUGAGGGUGAGCGAAUCUCGGAAAGCCGGUCUCAGUCCGGAUUGGGGUCUGCGACUCGACCUCAUGAAGUCGGAGUCGCUAGUAAUCGCAGAUCAGCAACGCUGCGGUGAAUACGUUCCCGGGGCU